GACGAACGCUGGCGGCGUGCCUAAUACAUGCAAGUCGAGCGAAGUUUUUCUGGUGCUUGCACUAGAAAAACUUAGCGGCGAACGGGUGAGUAACACGUAAAGAACCUGCCUCAUAGACUGGGACAACUAUUGGAAGCGAUAGCUAAUACCGGAUAACAGUAUUUCUCGCAUGAGAGAUAUUUAAAAGUUGGUUAUGCUAACACUAUGAGAUGGCUUUGCGGUGCAUUAGCUAGUUGGUGGGGUAAAGGCCCACCAAGGCGACGAUGCAUAGCCGACCUGAGAGGGUGAUCGGCCACACUGGGACUGAGACACGGCCCAGACUCCUACGGGAGGCAGCAGUAGGGAAUCUUCCGCAAUGGGCGAAAGCCUGACGGAGCAACGCCGCGUGAGUGAAGAAGGAUUUCGGUUCGUAAAGCUCUGUUGUUAGGGAAGAAUGGAUAUGUAGUAACUAUACAUGUAAGAGACGGUACCUAACCAGAAAGCCACGGCUAACUACGUG
RNAcentral lists this ribosomal RNA (499 nucleotides) under uncultured bacterium. RNAcentral describes it as "partial 16S ribosomal RNA". It matches the Rfam family "Bacterial small subunit ribosomal RNA", at positions 28 to 507 of the family's 1533-position model. The record is from RNAcentral.